This 380-nucleotide long non-coding RNA is filed under the name Sus scrofa (pig). RNAcentral describes it as "lncRNA (ENSSSCG00050057212.1)". The record is from RNAcentral. Lineage: Eukaryota; Metazoa; Chordata; Mammalia; Artiodactyla; Suidae.
UUUUGCAUCCCAGCUCUGCCUCUUAUAACUUUGAGAUCUGGGGCAUGUUGCUUAUUCUCUUUGAGUCUAUACCUUCUCCUCUGUAAACAGGGUUAACAGGAGCAUCUUCAAAGGCUGCCUUGGGAAUUAAGACAGCUCACCCCUCCAUGCCCAGCACAGUGGCUGCUGCUCUCAAUGAACACACAAUUCCUCUGUCAGAUAUUUUCUUUUCAGAUUCCAGUUUGAAUUCAACAGAAGCAAUACUUUCUACCUCUUCGACCACACUGAUAUUACCGUUACAUAUCCUGGGGAAAGUGAAACAAAUUGGGCUAUUGCAAGUUUGGUUACUGCUUGACUUGAUCUCAAAAGGUCCGUAUUAUAAAGGAUGUUCGAAUUGUUGA